CCCUACACUGAUCUAGGUGGAUGGGGUGCGGCGCUGGACCGGGGUUGUGUCCGGGCUCUUCGCGUGGAGCUGCCGCCUCCUCGCUGCCCCCUUGCUUCCCCCCGGGCCAGUCUCUCUGCUGCCGCCGUCCGGGAGAGGAGGCGAGUGGCUCGGGCCGCGGCCCCCGCUCCUCGCUCCCUCUCAUACACUCGGGCACCGGGCGCUGCUGGGGCCCCGGCCAGGCAGCGCAGGGAACCCAGGUGGCCGGGCUCAGCGCCGCUCCCACUCUGGUCUCAGAGCGAUUGGUUCGGGAGAAGAGAGGGGAAGAGGCUGUAGAUCGUUCUUUGUGUGGUUGGGGAUGGCGUCGUUGCGGUUGGCCAAUCGGGUGAUUAGAGGCAUGGUAAGCGCGUGAUUUUUCUUUUUGUCCAAUUAGAUUGCUAGCAUGUAUGAUGUUAGCCUGCAUGAUUGGUUCUUAUGUAACCAGACUUAACUAUAUAAGGGGGUAGUAGAAAAGAAUAAAGGAGAUUCCUGACUUGUUUGCA
Molecule: long non-coding RNA, 521 nt
Organism: Gopherus flavomarginatus (Mexican gopher tortoise)
Lineage: Eukaryota; Metazoa; Chordata; Testudines; Testudinidae
Exons: 2
Source: RefSeq, a predicted model, not a curated record